This 330-nucleotide ribosomal RNA is filed under the name uncultured Pseudomonas sp. RNAcentral describes it as "bacterial SSU rRNA". It matches the Rfam family "Bacterial small subunit ribosomal RNA", at positions 1052 to 1382 of the family's 1533-position model. Lineage: Bacteria; Pseudomonadati; Pseudomonadota; Gammaproteobacteria; Pseudomonadales; Pseudomonadaceae. The record is from RNAcentral.
UCGUCAGCUCGUGUCGUGAGAUGUUGGGUUAAGUCCCGUAACGAGCGCAACCCUUGUCCUUAGUUACCAGCACGUUAUGGUGGGCACUCUAAGGAGACUGCCGGUGACAACCGGAGGAAGGUGGGGAUGACGUCAAGUCAUCAUGGCCCUUACGGCCUGGGCUACACACGUGCUACAAUGGUCGGUACAAAGGGUUGCCAAGCCGCGAGGUGGAGCUAAUCCCAUAAAACCGAUCGUAGUCCGGAUCGCAGUCUGCAACUCGACUGCGUGAAGUCGGAAUCGCUAGUAAUCGUGAAUCAGAAUGUCACGGUGAAUACGUUCCCGGGCCUU